UACGUAGGGUGCGAGCGUUAAUCGGAAUUACUGGGCGUAAAGGGUGCGCAGGCGGUCCUGCAAGUCAGGCGUGAAAUCCCCGGGCUUAACCUGGGAAUGGCACUUGAAACUACGGGACUGGAGUAUGGCAGAGGGAGGUGGAAUUCCACGUGUAGCGGUGAAAUGCGUAGAGAUGUGGAGGAACACCGAUGGCGAAGGCAGCCUCCUGGGCCGAUACUGACGCUGAGGAGCGAAAGCGUGGGGAGCGAACAGG
This 253-nucleotide ribosomal RNA is filed under the name uncultured bacterium. Its description in RNAcentral is "partial 16S ribosomal RNA". It matches the Rfam family "Bacterial small subunit ribosomal RNA", at positions 524 to 776 of the family's 1533-position model. The record is from RNAcentral.